AUGGCCUGAAAACAUGGGAUAUGGAAAGUUGGUAAUUCAGUCAUUCCCAAAAGGCUGUUGCAGUGAAGUAGCCUUCCUGAGUGUAGAUACUCAGCAGGCCCAUCAGCACUGGUGGGACUGAAAAGCUUCUUCCAGGGACCUAUAUACUAUAUCCAAGCUAUUGGAACAGACGCUCACGAAGAACACUCCCGCACCCCACGCUGGCUCUCUUCGGCAUAAUACAGAAAAGUCACUGACUUUACCCAGCUUAUUUCUUUCCUACUGGUGGCUAGGGAAGUCACUAUUUCAGAGUAUCAGGGCCCUAGGACGUGGCUGGGAAGAAGGAACAACAGGAAUGGCCUCUGCCCCAAAGCCCUAGCGGUACCACAGCUUCUCCUCCCACCACAAAAUGCCAGCCCCUCUGACCCCAGUUACUUCUCGUAUGUGUUCUUGCCUUGGUUGGAUAAGAACUGUAAUUGCACUAGGCUCAAACAGAUUUAUUUCCUUCUGAUUUGAAUGCUGAAAAUUAAUUCCUUUAGCAGACAAAGAAUAUCAAAUGCAGAGAGUAAAGUUCAUGUCCUUCUUAUGACCUUUAGUAA
Molecule: long non-coding RNA, 578 nt
Organism: Orcinus orca (killer whale)
Lineage: Eukaryota; Metazoa; Chordata; Mammalia; Artiodactyla; Delphinidae
Exons: 2
Source: RefSeq, a predicted model, not a curated record